Molecule: unclassified non-coding RNA, 209 nt
Filed under: Hevea brasiliensis (rubber tree)
Lineage: Eukaryota; Viridiplantae; Streptophyta; Magnoliopsida; Malpighiales; Euphorbiaceae
Source: RNAcentral
GGGCAAAGUAGAGGUUCAGUGGGUCGUCGAUGACGGCGCGAGCGAGAAGCCUACGAGCAGCGGAAAUGAGAGUCGGUGAAGCACGCUGAGUCUUCCUGGCGGGAAUGAAUCGGCCGUCAAAGACACCACCGGGAGGGUUUAAAUCGACUGUAGGAUCAGCGUGGAUGUAGAUAUUGUAACGCAAUCCAUGGCCGCGGAAGAACCGUUCC